This 253-nucleotide ribosomal RNA is filed under the name uncultured bacterium. RNAcentral's name for it is "partial 16S ribosomal RNA". It matches the Rfam family "Bacterial small subunit ribosomal RNA", at positions 524 to 776 of the family's 1533-position model. The record is from RNAcentral.
UACGUAGGGGGCAAGCGUUGUCCGGAAUUAUUGGGCGUAAAGAGCGCGUAGGCGGUCCGAUAAGUCGGCUGUGAAAGUCAGGGGCUCAACCCUUGAAAGCCGGCCGAUACUGUCGGACUAGAGUCCGGAAGAGGCAAGUGGAAUUCCGGGUGUAGUGGUGAAAUGCGUAGAGAUCCGGAGGAACACCAGUGGCGAAGGCGACACGCUGGGUCAUACCUGACGCUAAAACGCGACAGCAUGGGGAGCGAACGGG